GGAUAUUACCUCAGGAGACUCCACAGUUUUUCAUUCAGUGAGGACUGAAAUGUGAACAAAGUAACACAACCAGACAAGAGACAACCAGACAAUAGGUGAACAAAACUAUGAUUCCUUCCCUAAUUCCGAAACCGCACAACGUCAGGAUUUCUCACUAGCGCCCAGAACACUGUGCCCUGGUCUUCUAGCCACACUGAAUGGACGACAGCAGGGCUGGAUUGUCAUUGUCUGGCCUGAAGCUCCUCUGCUGGGUGGGUGUGGUGUGGCUGCGGUCGGUCACGGCCACUCUCGAAAACAAACCAUCUAUCCACUGCUGAGAGGAGCCACAGAGAAGAGCUGAAAAAUCUCCAGAAGAGAGGCCACAAAGGCCUUCUCCCUACAUCACAACGCUAACUCAUGCCAUGCUUGUUCAUUGCCAAAUCAGAGGCACAAGGACACAAUACAGUCUUACGCCAAUACCUACUCUUUGGAAAAUCUUUUGCAAUCCAUCGAGGUCAAGAACAUUCCAGUGAACUAUGAUAAAUGACAACUAAAGCAUGACUUCGUGAAAAUAUCUUCUUCACUUUGAUUGGCAGUACAGCAUGUUCAUGUUAAGUCCAAAACGCCUUACGGACACUGCAUUUAAAACAAAACAUCUGAAAUAUCUAUAGAAAUGCAGAACAUCCCCAUGGGAAAGUUCAAGUUUACUCAAGCAGGAUGUAAAAUGUAAAAUGGUACUUCUGUGAAAUGGAUUUUAACCUGGAACUUGUAUAGAUUCUACAGCACAAUGUAUUAUCAAGGACUUCCUCUCGUUUUAAGAUUUCUUGAAGGUUGAAACAUUUGAUAAAUGCAUUUAAUUUAUGUGUUUGUGACUAAACAAAGCAGUAAUGGAAAAAUUGCACAUGAUGAGUACCUUAUGGAUGAUGAGGGUGUUGAUGUUGGUUACCAUUUUCCUUUGUAAUUGAAUGCUGGAUAAUCUUAAAAAGGAAUUUUCUGGGUUUAAUACAAGUUAAGCUCUGUCGACAGCCUUUGUGGCAUAAUGUUUUUGAAUUUCAACUAUUUCCUCUUUCUGUAAAAGAAAAUGCAAAACAAAUCUGGGUUCCAGUGAGGUAUUUACAAUGGGGCCAUUUUGUAAACACUAAAAUUCUCACUGCUUCUAUAGUACAGUCACAAGACGUAAAUAUGCAUGUUAACAUGAUUUUAGUGUAAAUAACUUCGUUUAAAUUUGCAAAGCCCUAAAAAAAAAAAAAACUAAAAUUUUAAACCGCUUUAUAGUUUAAAUAAUACACAUUUUAACAACAAAAAUUAAAUGUGCUUUGAUAAAAUAUGCUCACAUAUUUCUGCUUCUAUAUCCAUUUACCUAGUCCCCAUUUUAAAUGCCUAACCGUAACAUCCAUUUUUGCCUGUUAACCCAUAAGACAUUCGUUCAUCUUCAGAACACAAAUUAAGAUAUUUUUUAUGAAAUCCGAGCUUUCUGACCCUGCAUAGACAGCAACGCAACUGACACGUUCAAGGCCCAGAAAGGUAGUACGAACAUCAUUAAAAUAGUCCAUGUGACAUCAAUGGUCAACCGUAAUUUUAUGAAGCUACAAGAAAAGAAAAAAAAUAAUGACUUAAUUCAACGAUUUCUUCUCUUCCCUGUCACGACGCAUGCGUGUGGUGCUGCUGAAGCAGGAGCCGGCAUUCUGAUGUAGAACCCAGAUGCGCUGCAGCUUGUUUACAAGCAGAAGAAUGCACACAUAUGCAUUGUGGUACUGUUCUGAAUGCGCGGUGAAGACUGACACAAGUAAGAAGAAAUAGUUGAAUAAAGUCAUUAUUUUUAUUUUCUUUGCACACAAAAAGUAUUCUCGUAGCUUCAUAAAAUUAUAGUUGAACCACUGAUGUCACAUGGACUUUAACAAUGUCCUUACUACCUUUCUGGGUCUUGAACGUGGCAGUUGCAGGGUCAAAAAGCUCUCAAAUUUCAUCAAAAAUGUCUUCGCGAUCCAAAGAUGAACAAAGGUCUUACGGGUUUGGAACCACAUGAGGGUGAGUAUUUAAUGACAAUUUUCAUUUUUGGGUAAUCGAACCCUUUAAAGAAAAGGAAGAACAAGUCAUUUUUUAUCCCUAAUUGAUUGAGCGUAAUUAGUAUCGUUUCAACCAUUAUUGUUAAAGGUUGGUUUUCUUACUCACUUACAGUCUUAAAGCUCUUGAAAAGGGAUAUGAAUUUGAAUUGUGUUUUGGGGGGAGUUUAUCUUCUGUAGUAAAUGACUCGCUGCUAAACAUUUCCAUUUGAAGGGGACUUUCUGGGAUUAUGCAGCAGAUCCCACAGGCAUCCUUGUGAACUGAAUUCCUGGUGCCUAAUACCGGUAGAUGUGUUUGUUGCUCAUUCAGUCAGUUGAAGGGUUUGAAUAAAUGAUUUUUGAUGCUUGCAGACUGGUUUCAUAAGCACCCUGGAGGUUUAAAAAAAAGUGCCUGGACUCCUCUCUGAAAACUCC
RNAcentral lists this long non-coding RNA (2456 nucleotides) under Sinocyclocheilus anshuiensis. RNAcentral describes it as "lncRNA (ENSSANG00000048671.1)". Lineage: Eukaryota; Metazoa; Chordata; Actinopteri; Cypriniformes; Cyprinidae. The record is from RNAcentral.